AGCAGUCGCCGCGGGAAUACGUAGGGUGCAAGCGUUAAUCGGAAUUACUGGGCGUAAAGCGUGCGCAGGCGGUUAUAUAAGACAGAUGUGAAAUCCCCGGGCUCAACCUGGGAACUGCAUUUGUGACUGUAUAGCUAGAGUACGGCAGAGGGGGAUGUAAUUCCGCGUGUAGCAGUGAAAUGCGUAGAUAUGCGGAGGAACACCGAUGGCGAAGGCAAUCCCCUGGGCCUGUACUGACGCUCAUGCACGAAAGCGUGGGGAGCAAACAGGAUUAGAUACCCCAGUAGUCCCUGUCUCUUAUAC
This 303-nucleotide ribosomal RNA is filed under the name uncultured bacterium. RNAcentral's name for it is "partial 16S ribosomal RNA". It matches the Rfam family "Bacterial small subunit ribosomal RNA", at positions 507 to 807 of the family's 1533-position model. The record is from RNAcentral.